Molecule: ribosomal RNA, 497 nt
Filed under: uncultured bacterium
Lineage: Bacteria
Description: partial 16S ribosomal RNA
Rfam family: Bacterial small subunit ribosomal RNA
Source: RNAcentral
GAUGAACGCUGGCGGCGUGCCUAAUACAUGCAAGUCGAGCGAACGGACGAGAAGCUUGCUUCUCUGAUGGUAGCGGCGGACGGGUGAGUAACACGUGGAUAACCUACCUAUAAGACUGGGAUAACUUCGGGAAACCGGAUCUAAUACCGGAUAAUAUUUUGAACCGCAUGGUUCAAAAGUGAAAGACGGUCUUGCUGUCACUUAUAGAUGGAUCCGCGCUGCAUUAGCUAGUUGGUAAGGUAACGGCUUACCAAGGCGACGAUGCAUAGCUGACCUGAGAGGGUGAUCAGCCACACUGGAACUGAGACACGGUCCAGACUCCUACGGGAGGCAGCAGUAGGGAAUCUUCCGCAAUGGGCGAAAGCCUGACGGAGCCACGCCGCGUGAGUGAUGAAGGUCUUCGGAUCGUAAAGCUCUGUUAUUAGGGAAGAACAUAUGUGUAAGUAACUGUGGACAUCUUGACGGUACCUAAUCAGAAAGCCCCGGCUAACUACGUG